AUUGAACGCUGGCGGCAGGCCUAACACAUGCAAGUCGAACGGUAACAGGAAACAGCUUGCUGUUUCGCUGACGAGUGGCGGACGGGUGUGUAAUGUCUGGGAAACUGCCUGAUGGAGGGGGAUAACUACUGGAAACGGUAGCUAAUACCGCAUAACGUCGCAAGACCAAAGAGGGGGACCUUCGGGCCUCUUGCCAUCGGAUGUGCCCAGAUGGGAUUAGCUAGUAGGUGGGGUAACGGCUCACCUAGGCGACGAUCCCUAGCUGUACUGAGAGGAUGACCAGCCACACUGGAACUGAGACACGGUCCAGACUCCUACGGGAGGCAGCGGUGGGGAAUAUUGCACAAUGGGCGCAAGCCUGAUGCAGCCAUGCCGCGUGUAUGAAGAAGGCCUUCGGGUUGUAAAGUACUUUCAGCGGGGAUGAAGGGAGUAAAGUUAAUACCUUUGCUCAUUGACGUUACCCGCAGAAGAAGCACCGGCUAACUCCGUG
Molecule: ribosomal RNA, 490 nt
Filed under: uncultured bacterium
Lineage: Bacteria
Description: partial 16S ribosomal RNA
Rfam family: Bacterial small subunit ribosomal RNA
Source: RNAcentral